CCUACGGGCGGCAGCAGUGAGGAAUAUUGGUCAAUGGGCGCGAGCCUGAACCAGCCAAGUCGCGUGAGGGAAGACGGUUCUAUGGAUUGUAAACCUCUUUUGUCGGGGAGCAAAUGACGCCACGCGUGGCGUUCCGAGAGUACCCGUAGAUAAAGCAUCGGCAAACUCCGUGCCAGCAGCCGCGGUAACACGGAGUAUGCGAGCGUUAUCCGGAUUUAGUGGGUUUAAAGGGUGCGCAGGCGGAAGGUCAAGUCAGCGGUAAAAUUGAGAGGCUCAACCUCUUCGAGCGGUUGAAACUGGUUUUCUAGAGUGAGCGAGAGGUAUGCGGAAUGCGUGGUGUAGCGGUGAAAUGCAUAGAUAUCACGAAGAACUCCGAUUGCGAAGGCAGCAUACCGGCGCUCAACUGACGCUCAUGCACGAAAGUGUGGGUAUCGAACAGGAUUAGAUACCCCUGUAGUC
RNAcentral lists this ribosomal RNA (459 nucleotides) under uncultured bacterium. RNAcentral describes it as "partial 16S ribosomal RNA". It matches the Rfam family "Bacterial small subunit ribosomal RNA", at positions 338 to 795 of the family's 1533-position model. The record is from RNAcentral.